RNAcentral lists this long non-coding RNA (2396 nucleotides) under Anolis carolinensis (green anole). Its description in RNAcentral is "lncRNA (ENSACAG00000035012.1)". Lineage: Eukaryota; Metazoa; Chordata; Lepidosauria; Squamata; Anolidae. The record is from RNAcentral.
UCUUUGGUGCUUCAAGAGAAAUUAACUAAACCUAUAGCAAAUAUUAUUAUUACUACUACUACUACUACUACAAUAAUAAUUUUAUUUCUUAUCCGCCUCUCCUCGUGGCUUGAGGCAGGUCACAGCAGAGUCAAAACACACAAUCAUUGCAAAAAUUCUAUAAACACACAUAUCAAAAUGUAAUUCUAUAAAAGAUACAUAUUAAAACGUAUUUCUAGAAAAUACAUAUUAAAUGCACAGGGCAGCAAUUAAAACACAGGGCACAAGUUUAAAGUCACGUUUAACUGGCUGGGUAUUAUGUAGCACAUAUGUGAAGAAAGAAACAAAUGACAUAUAAAAACUCAUUUAGAUUGUGGCUGUCAUCUUGCUCACGACACACUCACGUGUAAGUUAACCCUAGGUCUGUGUCGUAUUUCCUUCUUCCCUCCAUAGCAACCAAAGCACCCAUUCCAGACACUACCAUUUUGCUGUAGAAGGCACCCUUUCCACUUCUGUUCAAGCCUGGAGGAUAGCAAGGGAGGGAUUAGAGAAACUGCCAUAGCCAGAAGCAAAAUGGUUGCACCCAUUGCAGAGACCUCCAAAAGACCACAGCAAUGGAUGAUGUAAUUGCUAUAUGUCUCACUACAGCGGCAUACCAAAUGCUUCUAUAAUUUCCCCUCUCUCCUCUAGGAUUGAAUAAAGAGAGAAAGCCUCUCUAGGGAGUCAAGGGAGUUCUAAAUGGCUUAGUGCAGUCUAGUUCCACAUACACAACUAUUAUGCUAUGCUGUGCCAUGUAGGGUUGCAGUCACUAUUUUCUUUCUUGUACAAAUGGUUUGGCAGUGUAAUGUAUGAAAUGGCUCCAGCUCAUGAAUACAGAUUCAGCAUCCUUUAUCUGGAAUUCUAAAAUCCAAAAUACUUUCUGAUGGUUCAAAUGUACACAAACUUUGUUUCAUGCACAAACAUAUUUAAAAUAUGAAUAAUGUGCAUAAGGUAUAUAAGGUAUAUAUGAAACAUGGCGUGAAGAUAACUUUAAAUACUAUUUUAAUAUUUUUGUGCAUGAAACGAAAUGUAUGUACACUAAACCAUCAGAAAGCAAAGGGGUUGCUAUCUCAACAACCAUCCAUGCAGACAAUUUUGGAAGAGGAGGAGGAGGUUGUUAUUACGGCUGAUAAUAUAACCAUGGAUAAUAACUUUAUGGUAUUUUUAUUGUGUAAGUAGAAAUACCUAUAUAACAAUUGUAAUUCAGCAAAUUUUAUUUCUGGUGCUAAUAAUAUGAAUUCCAUAAAUUGGGAAAAAAGAAGUAAUAAAUCCAAUCAAUAAAUAAAUUCAACAAAAAAUAAAUAAACUGCAUAAACUAGAAGUCCUCUAGAUGUAGCCUUCCAGUUCAGUUUUUGGUAAUGGGUGAUGGGAGUUGUCAUCCAAUUAUCUGAAGAAAUAUGGUCUAUUUAUUUAUUUAUUUAUUACAUCACUUCAACCCCGCCCUUCUCACCCAUCAGGGGACUCAGGGCGGCUUACAAUAUAAACAUACACAUUAAAAACAGUUGUCGUCAAAUUUAAAACUCCAUCAAGAUUAAAAAUUACAAUAAAAUUAAGAAUAUCCAUUAAAAUAUACAUAAUUAUACAUUUAAAUAUAUAUUUCCAUGUUCAUGUGGGGUCUGUCAGUAGGUCAUAUAUUCUUAUCUCAUUUUUGCUGCUACUCAUGCUCAAAUGCCUGGUCCCAUAACCACGUUUUUGUCCUCUUUCGGAAAGACAGGAGGGAGGGAGCCUGCCUGAUUUCAAUGGGGAGGGCGUUCCAUAGGCGGGGAGCCACCACUGAAAAGGCCCUGUCUCUCGUCAACUCUGGGUGUAAACACUCAGACUUGUGACUGUAUUCAUAGAUUUUUGUUUAAAAAAUCAUUUUCUUCCUUUUUUUCUUUUCUUUUUUUUUGAAGCCCCACCUGGAAAUGUUAAUAUUCCAGCAAGUAAGAUACACCAAGCUUGGACAUGUAUGCUGGCUACUGUAGUCAAGACUAUUUUAUUUUUGUGUUUUAUUUUAGGCAAUGGUUUCUUUUUAUAACAAAUAUAUAACCCACAGGGCCCAUAAUGUAGGAGCUCCCACGGUUCUCCCAGAGGUAUCCAAAUGACAUCUCCGGUAAAACAGAAUUAAUUCAAAACAAAGCAGGAAAACCCUACUUUGCCCUGAAUUAAUCUGAUACUCUGUCAGAUCCUGGUCUUCCUGAAAGACCUGGGUCUAAUUGAGUGUGGGCCCUGUGGGGACUGACACCUCAGUAGUCCCAGGUCAUUCCCCACAGCCCAAUUUGCUUCUUUGGGCCCCGUGGGCCCAGAGAUGUGAAGAGGGAACACACCCUCUCCGCAAAUCCCUCCCUGAAACCUUUAAAAUAAAAGAAAAACUUCCCGGGCCACCAUUAGGCUUUUUG